RNAcentral lists this long non-coding RNA (281 nucleotides) under Lathyrus oleraceus (garden pea). Its description in RNAcentral is "Pisum sativum (pea) long non-coding RNA (PSAT_LNC031459)". Lineage: Eukaryota; Viridiplantae; Streptophyta; Magnoliopsida; Fabales; Fabaceae. The record is from RNAcentral.
CAAGCUCAAAAGCAAACAUAAUCAAUUCCAAAAAUUAUGAAAUAAUUCAUACUCAAUCACAAUCCAUAACAUAGCAUGCAUAUGAAAUUUCAGCUCAAUUGGAUCAUGGGAAGAUAGUCAAUUAAAAUCAGGAAGUCAACACAAUUUCAAGUAAGCACAAAGAAGUCAACAAAACAUGUGUCAUCUUCAAAAAAUCAUAACAAAAUGAAAACAGAUGAGAAAUGGAUGGGAUCAACACCAAUGCAAAUCUCAAGAUGUCUAGUAUGCACAUAUGAAAUUUC